This is a non-coding RNA of Pelobates cultripes (western spadefoot toad), 225 nucleotides long. The record is from the annotation of a GenBank genome assembly. NCBI's taxonomy places the organism in Eukaryota, Metazoa, Chordata, Amphibia, Anura, Pelobatidae.
GGCUUCUUGUAUUUCCCGAACAGCCAGGGAAGCACCGUUCAGUAGUUCUAUGCGAACGGACAAGGGGAGCAAUCGCUGCUAUGAGCCAGGAGGAUCCAUUCGGGACUUUUGUUCGGUUUUUACAGAUUUGUGAAUUGACCGACCGCACACGCUGAAUUCAUGGAACUAUUUUGGGCACAAACAUAUCCAAAUUUCACCCAGAUUGGUUCAGGGGUUCUGAAAAAG